RNAcentral lists this non-coding RNA (30 nucleotides) under Mus musculus (house mouse). Lineage: Eukaryota; Metazoa; Chordata; Mammalia; Rodentia; Muridae. The record is from RNAcentral.
UAGUAUAUAAUGCUCCACUUUGUCGCUGAC